AUUGAACGCUGGCGGAAUGCUUUACACAUGCAAGUCGAACGGCAGCACGGACUUCGGUCUGGUGGCGAGUGGCGAACGGGUGAGUAAUGUAUCGGAACGUGCCCAGUCGUGGGGGAUAACGUAGUGAAAAUUACGCUAAUACCGCAUACGAUCUAUGGAUGAAAGCGGGGGAUCGCAAGACCUCGCGCGAUUGGAGCGGCCGAUAUCAGAUUAGGUAGUGGGUGGGGUAAAGGCCCACCAAGACAACGAUCUGUAGCUGGUCUGAGAGGACGACCAGCCACACUGGAACCGAGGCACGGUCCAGACUCCUACGGGAGGCAGCAGUGGGGAAUUUUGGACAAUGGGCGAAAGCCUGAUCCAGCCAUUCCGCGUGCAGGAUGAAGGCCCUCGGGUUGUAAACUGCUUUUGUACAGAACGAAAAGGUUUCUACUAAUACUAGGAGCUCAUGACGGUACUGUAAGAAUAAGCACCGGCUAACUACGUGCCAGCCGCCGCGGUAA
This 500-nucleotide ribosomal RNA is filed under the name uncultured bacterium. Its description in RNAcentral is "partial 16S ribosomal RNA". It matches the Rfam family "Bacterial small subunit ribosomal RNA", at positions 30 to 523 of the family's 1533-position model. The record is from RNAcentral.